CCUACGGGUGGCAGCAGUAGGGAAUCUUCCACAAUGGGCGCGAGCCUGAUGGAGCAACACCGCGUGAGUGAAGAAGGGUUUAGGCUCGUAAAGCUCUGUUGUUGGAGAAGAACGUGCGUGCGAGUAACUGUUCACGCAGUGACGGUAUCAAACCAGAACGUCACGGCUAACUACGUGCCAGCAGCCGAGGUAAUACGUAGGUGGCAAGCAUUAUCCGGAUUUGUUGGGCGUAAAGCGAGCGCAGGCGGUUGCUUAGGUCUGAUGUGAAAGCUUUCGGCUUAACCGAAGAAGUGCAUCGGAAACCGGGCGACGUGAGUGCAGAAGAGGACAGCGGAACUCCAGGUGUAGCGGUGGAAUGCGUAGAUAUAUGGAAGAACACCAGUGGCGAAGGCGGCUGUCUGGUCUGCAACUGGCGCUGAGGCUCGAAAGCAUGGGUAGCGAACAGGAUUAGAUACCCGGGUAGUC
RNAcentral lists this ribosomal RNA (465 nucleotides) under uncultured bacterium. RNAcentral's name for it is "partial 16S ribosomal RNA". It matches the Rfam family "Bacterial small subunit ribosomal RNA", at positions 338 to 795 of the family's 1533-position model. The record is from RNAcentral.